RNAcentral lists this ribosomal RNA (253 nucleotides) under uncultured bacterium. RNAcentral describes it as "partial 16S ribosomal RNA". It matches the Rfam family "Bacterial small subunit ribosomal RNA", at positions 524 to 776 of the family's 1533-position model. The record is from RNAcentral.
UACGUAGGGUGCAAGCGUUAAUCGGAAUUACUGGGCGUAAAGCGUGCGCAGGCGGUUAUGUAAGACAGAUGUGAAAUCCCCGGGCUCAACCUGGGAACUGCAGUCGAGACUGUCUAGCUAGAGUAUGGGAGAGGGAAGUGGAAUUUCAGGUGUAGCGGUGAAAUGCGUAGAUAUCAGGAGGAACACCAGCGGCGAAGGCGGCGCUCUGGGCCGGUACUGACACUGAGGAGCGAAAGCGUGGGGAUCAAACAGG